Elgaria multicarinata webbii is the source of this 223-nucleotide long non-coding RNA. RefSeq lists it as uncharacterized. NCBI's taxonomy places the organism in Eukaryota, Metazoa, Chordata, Lepidosauria, Squamata, Anguidae. The record is from RefSeq and is a predicted model, not a curated record. The transcript is spliced from 2 exons.
AGAAUUCCCUGUUUGGGUCGUUGUGCUCGUUGUGGAGAAGAAGAUGGAGUCCAUGGAUAGUGGUAAUGGAUGGCUUUGCAGCUUUGGGAUUUCGGGGAUCCUGCAGAGCCACAGAUAGAACGCAUAAUUGCAAUGUUGUUGCUGUAUAUUCCUUCACUCUCUUCGCGACUUUAUGUUUUGUGUUACGUUGUUUCAUAUUGAAUAAAAACCUUUUGUAUUGGCA